Molecule: ribosomal RNA, 2901 nt
Filed under: Escherichia coli
Lineage: Bacteria; Pseudomonadati; Pseudomonadota; Gammaproteobacteria; Enterobacterales; Enterobacteriaceae
Description: bacterial LSU rRNA
Rfam family: Bacterial large subunit ribosomal RNA
Source: RNAcentral
UUAAGCGACUAAGCGUACACGGUGGAUGCCCUGGCAGUCAGAGGCGAUGAAGGACGUGCUAAUCUGCGAUAAGCGUCGGUAAGGUGAUAUGAACCGUUAUAACCGGCGAUUUCCGAAUGGGGAAACCCAGUGUGUUUCGACACACUAUCAUUAACUGAAUCCAUAGGUUAAUGAGGCGAACCGGGGGAACUGAAACAUCUAAGUACCCCGAGGAAAAGAAAUCAACCGAGAUUCCCCCAGUAGCGGCGAGCGAACGGGGAGCAGCCCAGAGCCUGAAUCAGUGUGUGUGUUAGUGGAAGCGUCUGGAAAGGCGUGCGAUACAGGGUGACAGCCCCGUACACAAAAAUGCACAUGCUGUGAGCUCGAUGAGUAGGGCGGGACACGUGGUAUCCUGUCUGAAUAUGGGGGGACCAUCCUCCAAGGCUAAAUACUCCUGACUGACCGAUAGUGAACCAGUACCGUGAGGGAAAGGCGAAAAGAACCCCGGCGAGGGGAGUGAAAAAGAACCUGAAACCGUGUACGUACAAGCAGUGGGAGCACGCUUAGGCGUGUGACUGCGUACCUUUUGUAUAAUGGGUCAGCGACUUAUAUUCUGUAGCAAGGUUAACCGAAUAGGGGAGCCGAAGGGAAACCGAGUCUUAACUGGGCGUUAAGUUGCAGGGUAUAGACCCGAAACCCGGUGAUCUAGCCAUGGGCAGGUUGAAGGUUGGGUAACACUAACUGGAGGACCGAACCGACUAAUGUUGAAAAAUUAGCGGAUGACUUGUGGCUGGGGGUGAAAGGCCAAUCAAACCGGGAGAUAGCUGGUUCUCCCCGAAAGCUAUUUAGGUAGCGCCUCGUGAAUUCAUCUCCGGGGGUAGAGCACUGUUUCGGCAAGGGGGUCAUCCCGACUUACCAACCCGAUGCAAACUGCGAAUACCGGAGAAUGUUAUCACGGGAGACACACGGCGGGUGCUAACGUCCGUCGUGAAGAGGGAAACAACCCAGACCGCCAGCUAAGGUCCCAAAGUCAUGGUUAAGUGGGAAACGAUGUGGGAAGGCCCAGACAGCCAGGAUGUUGGCUUAGAAGCAGCCAUCAUUUAAAGAAAGCGUAAUAGCUCACUGGUCGAGUCGGCCUGCGCGGAAGAUGUAACGGGGCUAAACCAUGCACCGAAGCUGCGGCAGCGACACUAUGUGUUGUUGGGUAGGGGAGCGUUCUGUAAGCCUGUGAAGGUGUACUGUGAGGUAUGCUGGAGGUAUCAGAAGUGCGAAUGCUGACAUAAGUAACGAUAAAGCGGGUGAAAAGCCCGCUCGCCGGAAGACCAAGGGUUCCUGUCCAACGUUAAUCGGGGCAGGGUGAGUCGACCCCUAAGGCGAGGCCGAAAGGCGUAGUCGAUGGGAAACAGGUUAAUAUUCCUGUACUUGGUGUUACUGCGAAGGGGGGACGGAGAAGGCUAUGUUGGCCGGGCGACGGUUGUCCCGGUUUAAGCGUGUAGGCUGGUUUUCCAGGCAAAUCCGGAAAAUCAAGGCUGAGGCGUGAUGACGAGGCACUACGGUGCUGAAGCAACAAAUGCCCUGCUUCCAGGAAAAGCCUCUAAGCAUCAGGUAACAUCAAAUCGUACCCCAAACCGACACAGGUGGUCAGGUAGAGAAUACCAAGGCGCUUGAGAGAACUCGGGUGAAGGAACUAGGCAAAAUGGUGCCGUAACUUCGGGAGAAGGCACGCUGAUAUGUAGGUGAGGUCCCUCGCGGAUGGAGCUGAAAUCAGUCGAAGAUACCAGCUGGCUGCAACUGUUUAUUAAAAACACAGCACUGUGCAAACACGAAAGUGGACGUAUACGGUGUGACGCCUGCCCGGUGCCGGAAGGUUAAUUGAUGGGGUUAGCGCAAGCGAAGCUCUUGAUCGAAGCCCCGGUAAACGGCGGCCGUAACUAUAACGGUCCUAAGGUAGCGAAAUUCCUUGUCGGGUAAGUUCCGACCUGCACGAAUGGCGUAAUGAUGGCCAGGCUGUCUCCACCCGAGACUCAGUGAAAUUGAACUCGCUGUGAAGAUGCAGUGUACCCGCGGCAAGACGGAAAGACCCCGUGAACCUUUACUAUAGCUUGACACUGAACAUUGAGCCUUGAUGUGUAGGAUAGGUGGGAGGCUUAGAAGUGUGGACGCCAGUCUGCAUGGAGCCGACCUUGAAAUACCACCCUUUAAUGUUUGAUGUUCUAACGUUGACCCGUAAUCCGGGUUGCGGACAGUGUCUGGUGGGUAGUUUGACUGGGGCGGUCUCCUCCUAAAGAGUAACGGAGGAGCACGAAGGUUGGCUAAUCCUGGUCGGACAUCAGGAGGUUAGUGCAAUGGCAUAAGCCAGCUUGACUGCGAGCGUGACGGCGCGAGCAGGUGCGAAAGCAGGUCAUAGUGAUCCGGUGGUUCUGAAUGGAAGGGCCAUCGCUCAACGGAUAAAAGGUACUCCGGGGAUAACAGGCUGAUACCGCCCAAGAGUUCAUAUCGACGGCGGUGUUUGGCACCUCGAUGUCGGCUCAUCACAUCCUGGGGCUGAAGUAGGUCCCAAGGGUAUGGCUGUUCGCCAUUUAAAGUGGUACGCGAGCUGGGUUUAGAACGUCGUGAGACAGUUCGGUCCCUAUCUGCCGUGGGCGCUGGAGAACUGAGGGGGGCUGCUCCUAGUACGAGAGGACCGGAGUGGACGCAUCACUGGUGUUCGGGUUGUCAUGCCAAUGGCACUGCCCGGUAGCUAAAUGCGGAAGAGAUAAGUGCUGAAAGCAUCUAAGCACGAAACUUGCCCCGAGAUGAGUUCUCCCUGACUCCUUGAGAGUCCUGAAGGAACGUUGAAGACGACGACGUUGAUAGGCCGGGUGUGUAAGCGCAGCGAUGCGUUGAGCUAACCGGUACUAAUGAACCGUGAGGCUUAACCUU